GCAGGUAGAGAAGCAGAUGGAUGGAUAGAAUGUUUAGUGCGAGCAGGGGAGGAAGGAUUCCUAAUGAACAUAGGGGUGACCAAAAUAGAAGAAGUAGAGGGAGUGUCUGGCUGAUCCAGUAAAUGGAAGGCACGAUUAGCAUCAGUUGCAAACAAUUGACGUUUUACUGAUGGCCAAAGCUGUUCAAAAAGAGGAUGGACAGCACAGCUAGAAUUGAAAGGAGCUAAUGAAAAUUUGCCCGUCAAAAGAAUGUUGCGAGUAUCUAUAGCUUGUGCCUCUGCCUUAUUAAUAGUGUGAAAGUGGUCUGUCAAAUUUUUGGAGUAACAAGGAGAAACAGGCCAAGUUUGGCCAAAACCAAGUUGUCGAGCAAAAAAUUGGGGAGCAUAUAUUUCAACCCCAGCUUUGGCAUUGGUUCCAGUUAAGAUAUCGUGGAACAAUUCCCUCCCAAUCAAAAAC
This 456-nucleotide long non-coding RNA is filed under the name Olea europaea (common olive). RNAcentral describes it as "long non-coding RNA (OEUR_LNC008125)". Lineage: Eukaryota; Viridiplantae; Streptophyta; Magnoliopsida; Lamiales; Oleaceae. The record is from RNAcentral.